Molecule: ribosomal RNA, 549 nt
Filed under: uncultured bacterium
Lineage: Bacteria
Description: bacterial SSU rRNA
Rfam family: Bacterial small subunit ribosomal RNA
Source: RNAcentral
UGGGGAAUUUUGGACAAUGGGCGCAAGCCUGAUCCAGCCAUGCCGCGUGUCUGAAGAAGGCCUUCGGGUUGUAAAGGACUUUUGUCAGGGAAGAAAAGGCUGUUGCUAAUAUCAGCGGCUGAUGACGGUACCUGAAGAAUAAGCACCGGCUAACUACGUGCCAGCAGCCGCGGUAAUACGUAGGGUGCGAGCGUUAAUCGGAAUUACUGGGCGUAAAGCGAGCGCAGACGGUUACUUAAGCAGGAUGUGAAAUCCCCGGGCUCAACCUGGGAACUGCGUUCUGAACUGGGUGACUAGAGUGUGUCAGAGGGAGGUAGAAUUCCACGUGUAGCAGUGAAAUGCGUAGAGAUGUGGAGGAAUACCGAUGGCGAAGGCAGCCUCCUGGGAUAACACUGACGUUCAUGCUCGAAAGCGUGGGUAGCAAACAGGAUUAGAUACCCUGGUAGUCCACGCCCUAAACGAUGUCAAUUAGCUGUUGGGCAACUUGAUUGUUCAGUAGCGUAGCUAACGCGUGAAAUUGACCGCCUGGGGAGUACGGUCGCAAGANUA